This 867-nucleotide ribosomal RNA is filed under the name Triticum aestivum (bread wheat). Its description in RNAcentral is "partial small subunit ribosomal RNA". Lineage: Eukaryota; Viridiplantae; Streptophyta; Magnoliopsida; Poales; Poaceae. The record is from RNAcentral.
AUGGAGGUAGAUACUCGAUGUCCUGUAUGUUUUAGAUUAGAUGAAGUGGGAGGACAUUGCUUUUUUAUGUGUAAGAAAGUCAAGGAGGUGUGGCGGAGAUUAAACCUGGAGCACAUUAGGGUGCUUUUGGCUGAAGUUACAAAUCCUGUAAGCAUCCUAGAGCAAAUCCUUAGUCUAGUGGAGGAGAGAAAAAUAAAAACUUGCUUGCUGCUUUGGCGCUGGUGGCAUGUUCGCAAUAAGGCAAACACGGGCGAAGCCCUUAUCUCGACUGAUGAUGUUUGUUAUUCUAUUAAUUAUCAUCUAUCAAGUGUAAUGAAAAGCAAAAGGACUACUAGGGAGCAAAAACUGCAGUUGAACCAUAAUUGGUCUCGGCCGCCAAGUGGCUUUCUCAAGAUUAAUACUGAUGCAUCUUUUCACAGGGACACCAAUUCCGGCGACUGGGGAUUCGUCAUUAGAGAUGAUCAAGGUAGGGCGAUGGCUGCAGAGGCGGGAAAUAUGGUACACAUCUCAGAUGUUCUACAUGCUGAAGCUUUGGCCUUGUUGUAUGCCAUAAAAAUGGCUGCUCAUAUGGGUUGCGACAAGGUGUUGUUUGAAACUGAUUCCAUACAGCUGAGGAGGGCAGUGGAUUCUAAUGAGUAUGAUCUAGCGAAUAUAGGAGCUAUUAUUAGGAGUAUUACGUUCCAACUGUGUGUGGAGUUUUCUUCUGCUAGUGUUGUGUCUUGCCCUCGGGCUUGUAACAGAGUGGCACAUGUUUUAGCUGCGUAUGGAGUUAACUUGGGAGCUGAAAUGUGUGAAACCUGGUUGGGUCCACUCCCAGACUUUGUACCGAAUUAUGUAAUGGGCGAUUUGCCUAAUACUGGUAUGUAA